GACGAACACUGGCGGCGUGCUUAACACAUGCAAGUCGAACGGUGAUGCUCCAGCUUGCUGGAGUGGAUCAGUGGCGAACGGGUGAGUAACACGUGAGCAACCUGCCCCAGACUCUGGAAUAAGCGCUGGAAACGGCGUCUAAUACUGGAUACGAAACUGGCCCGCAUGGGCAUGGUUUGGAAAGUUUUUCGGUUUGGGAUGGGCUCGCGGCCUAUCAGCUUGUUGGUGAGGUAAUGGCUCACCAAGGCGACGACGGGUAGCCGGCCUGAGAGGGCGACCGGCCACACUGGGACUGAGACACGGCCCAGACUCCUACGGGAGGCAGCAGUGGGGAAUAUUGCACAAUGGGCGAAAGCCUGAUGCAGCGACGCCGCGUGAGGGAUGACGGCCUUCGGGUUGUAAACCUCUUUCAGCAGGGAAGAAGCGAAAGUGACGGUACCUGCAGAAGAAGCACCGGCUAACUACGUG
Molecule: ribosomal RNA, 468 nt
Filed under: uncultured bacterium
Lineage: Bacteria
Description: partial 16S ribosomal RNA
Rfam family: Bacterial small subunit ribosomal RNA
Source: RNAcentral